This 3013-nucleotide long non-coding RNA is filed under the name Rattus norvegicus (Norway rat). Its description in RNAcentral is "long non-coding RNA NONRATT026374". Lineage: Eukaryota; Metazoa; Chordata; Mammalia; Rodentia; Muridae. The record is from RNAcentral.
CACCGGAAAUCAUUUUCCUUCUUGUAGAAGGACAGCAGGGUGCUAGGAUAUAAAAAGGCAAUUCUUACAGCAACCUGGCCACUCAAAGGUCAGGAGGGACCUUCAAACAUGGCUGACUUUAACUGUUCCCUUCUGCAUGAGCUUCCCCACAUAAUGUGACUUGUUACAUAUCCCUUCACGCCACAGGUACACAUCCAGUAGACACAGUAAUGGAGAUGAGGAAGUGUGUCCAGAGGCCAGGGUGAAAGAGGAAGGGCUGAGUGUGGUGGUUGUGUCCUGGCCUGACUGUGCUUCUGUGCAGUCUGGACAGUGGAGAGCAUCAAGUACAUUAAGAGUUUCCUCAUUGCCUCCAACCUCAGCAAGUUCAUGCCUAGUUACAGUGGCUUCCAGCCCUCAGUGAGAGUCUGGCAAACCCAGAGCUCUGCCCUGUGGACUGGGGAGGCCCAGCUGACAGUCUUGCUGCCACUUCACUGCCUAUUAAGACUUGUUUCUUUUUCAGUAGUUCUAAAACAAUUUGAAUGGCUGACAGGUUUAAAAUUUGAAAUUACUGUUUGAGGUUUUCCUCUUGCAUAUACUGGUUAGAUUAAUCUAGUGUUUCUGGUUAGACAGGUGUGAGCAUGGGAAAUGAGGGUAACCUGUAAUUUUGUUUUUAUAGUGCUUGCUAAUGGCACCGUGUAAUUUCUGCUUGGUGAUUUCCAUCCACUCUUAUUUUCUUCAUUAUCUCAUUACUCGGGAAGGCAGUGACUGGAGACAGGAAGUAGGAUGCAGGCCAUGAGGGAUGAGUUAUAAGCCACCUCUCCAUCAUCCUGCCCAAGGCUCACAACACUAUGCUGUGUCUCCUGAAUCCCAUUUGCAUGGAGGCUCGGCACUCCACAUCUCGCCUGCACUCAUUUUAGUACAUUGUGGUUUUGCUUCCAAUUAGACAGAGCAUUAGACCUCACACCUGGCAUGUGAUUCUUCAUGAGACCCCAGGCCUGCCCCAUCUCACUGUCACUGGCAUGCAUGUGGAACAAUGAAAGGGAAAGUGUUCAGUAAUAAGGGGUGGCAGUACAGCACAUGUGUUAUGAGCAGAGGACCAGCUUAUUGCCCUUGUACCUGUCCCUCCUGGUCAGGUGGGUACCCCAUUUUGUUGCCAAGAACAGUACAGUUGAGUAGGUGGUAGGUCAGAGAGUAUGGUGUGUGUAGAGGUAAAUCUGUGCUUGUCACAGCAGUUUUUCCCUAUCCCAUACAAGCCAACCACUGUACUUUGGGGUAGCCUGCCUCUUCCAAGUGCCUCUGGGCUCUGUGAGAGCCUCCCCCCAAGCAGGUAGACCAAUUUGUUUCCUCUGCUCUUUGCUGGACCUCCCCAGAGGUGGUCUCCAUGUGGCGGUGAUGCGAAAGAUCAAUGUCCUUGUGACCACUGCUCUGACUGUCCAAAAUAAGCAUUUUCUGUCCAAGCAAAUCCCCAAACUUCCUCACCCUCAUUACUCAACUACCUCAGUCUCACAGCUCAAGGCACACAAGCACCCACUUGCCUCACAUCAUCCUCUCCUGCCCUUGUGUUUAUGGGCUUGGAGCAAAUGCAAAGUCCUCAGUUUCAAAACUCAAGCUGCUCUUCCUGGAUCUGCGCCUUCUCUAGUGACACUGGCCCCCAAUCACCUACUGGGGGCUUUAGAGAGUGACUCUCCAGGUUGGUCCCUGUAGGACAAGCAGGGAGCUGUGCUGUGCAGUCUGAUGCCAGUUUUGGAGCCUCGUUUAAGAGCCCAGAGUGUAGGAGAACUGAGUGGUGGUGGUUUGCAGUCUGAGAGGGCUGGAAUGGACGGCUCUGCUCCUGCCCCUGCCCCUCUGGGCAGUCGGAUGAUGACUUCUGGAUGUACUCGUUACCCCAGAGAGAAGCUAAUUUAUACUUAAAACGCCUUUUGUACACUUCCCCUUUACCCAGAAACCUGUAGUUAUGCUCUCCUGUGUCUACAUCAACACUACCUCUUGCUCACUCUCCUUGGCUGACUUAGAAGAGCUUUUGCUAACGUACCUCCUAUCUUCACCUCUUGUCCAUGCUGACGUGCCCAUUCCCACCCAACAGCACACAGCUGACUCGGAGCAGGCACUGAGUGUUCUACCACACCAGAAGACCCAGAAAACAGGUCAAGCGGGGAGCCUGACCCACCCAGUCAUUAUCCUAGGGAUGGUAGCGACCUCUGCUUCAGGAGACAGACAUGGACCCUCCUUGAGUCUUUAUCAAAUGUGGCUUUAUUCAAUGACAAGCACUUUCUACAGCCGCACCUGUGGAACAUCACAUGGCAAAAACCCGGGUUUGUUUUUUUUUUUUUUCUCUAGACUUUUUUCCUUUUUUUAAACCUUAUUAAAAAUGAGAUUGGUCCUAAAAAUAUAGAAAGAAAUAAAUUUAAAUUCACAAAAAACUGUACAUUAUCAAAAAGUCACUAAAACACCACAUUUGGUUAUAUAAAAAGUCCCUUUUGUUGUAAAAGGAACAUGGAAACUUGUUGGUGUUGAUGGUUUCUUGCUGUUACUGGGGAGGGGACACAAAGGGCAGGGGGAGGGCUGUCUUUUUAUUUUUAACCUGCUUUCCCUACCAAAUACUCUUUGUCAACAAGAGAAAAGUCCACCUAGCUUGAGGGGCAGUGAAGAUGAGGAAAGAAAAGUAUGAGAAAUGGCCCCUUUGAUCACAUCCUGCCCCACAAUCCCUUCAGCCCCCAUUUCUUCAAAUCAAGGCUAGGACCUCCACCUUCAGAGUGCCUGGUCCCUAGGGCAGAGGCGGGGCUGGGAGAGGAGCACACAGCAGAGAGCCCAGGCUCCACUGUCCCUCACCUCAACAACGAAUGACUCCAGUACACUUUAUGCCAGGGGAAACAGUUCCAAACAUCUAACACAAAGUUUGUUACAGCGCAGUUAUUUAGAUAAAAUAUAAAUAUUUAUGCAUAAUAUAAAGUCAAUUCAAAUAUUCUUCAAUCCACCUCUUAUUUAAAAGCAAAAAAAAAUUCUCAAAUAAAAUUAAGUUUUGAGGUUUAUCGAC